Molecule: long non-coding RNA, 211 nt
Filed under: Lathyrus oleraceus (garden pea)
Lineage: Eukaryota; Viridiplantae; Streptophyta; Magnoliopsida; Fabales; Fabaceae
Description: Pisum sativum (pea) long non-coding RNA (PSAT_LNC000987)
Source: RNAcentral
UUGGAUUUAUUUUUUAAUUCUAAAAGUUAUUGCAAAUAAAGUAAACAAAGUAAUUGAAUGAUUCAGAAGGAUAUGAGUAAUAUGCUAUGGAUAGUAUAUGAUUCAAUUCUGUGACAACUCUGAAUUAACAUUGCAACAACAUAUUUUAAAGAAUUGAUUACCGGUUCUUACGGGUGUUUAAUCCUAAGUCCUUAGUGAAAAAACCUUUAAU